ACGGUCAUACCAUGCUGAAUAUACCGGUUCUCGUUGGAUCACCGAAGUCAAGCAUCAUUGGGCGCGGUCAGUACCUGGGUGGGUGACCACCUGGGAAACACCGCGUGCCGU
Molecule: ribosomal RNA, 111 nt
Filed under: Caerostris darwini
Lineage: Eukaryota; Metazoa; Arthropoda; Arachnida; Araneae; Araneidae
Source: RNAcentral